RNAcentral lists this ribosomal RNA (375 nucleotides) under Tetradesmus deserticola. Its description in RNAcentral is "partial 23S ribosomal RNA". It matches the Rfam family "Bacterial large subunit ribosomal RNA", at positions 2078 to 2451 of the family's 2925-position model. The record is from RNAcentral. Lineage: Eukaryota; Viridiplantae; Chlorophyta; Chlorophyceae; Sphaeropleales; Scenedesmaceae.
GGACAGAAAGACCCUAUGAAGCUUGACUGUAUCCUGGAAUUGGGUUUGGGCUUUUCUUGCGCAGUCUAGGUGGGAGGCUAUGAAGAUUUCCUUCUGGGGAAGUUGGAGCCAUCAGUGAGAGACCACUCUGGAGAGGCUAGAAUCCUAAUGGUGAUCCUUGAAUCAGGACACUUGACAGUUUCAGGUGGGCAGUUUUUCUGGGGCGGAAGCCUCAUAAAAGGUAACUGAGGCGCGCAAAGGUCCCCUCAGUCUGGACGGAAAUCAGACAACGAGUGUAAAGGCAAAAGGGGGCUUGACUGCAAGACCUACAAGUCGAGCAGGAGCGAAAGCUGGCCUUAGUGAUCCGACGGUACCGUGUGGAAGGGCCGUCGCUCA